UAACCUACCUUAAAAUAAUAUUCUACAACACUGCUGUGUAUGCCAGGCUAGCUUCCCGAAAACUCUUGGUGAUUUUCCUGUCUCAGCUUUCCCUCUCCUGAAGGAGAUUGCUGAGCUUGCAGACUGGGACUAUGAACUGAGGUCAUCAGGCUUGCUAGCACAUGCAUUGGAGCAAAUUGGGAAGUCUAAGCUCUACAAAGAAGAAAAUCAUUGCCCAAAGUCCUUCCUGCAUCUUGAGCUACUCAUUACUUAUGCUUUCCAAAUGUCCCUCAGCACCCCACAUUCAUCACCAUGACAACUUUUUGGAGAGAAGAAUUUUGAAGUAAAGAUGUGUUAAGGUUAUAAGGCUUGUGUUGUCUGAAAGCCUUUUUGAAUUUGUUUGCAAGAUUUGUCCUCUGUGCUUACUCCUUAUGCAUAUUGACAGUAAAAAUUUUAAGUCAAAGGAAAUAAAUACAAUUAAUGUCAAUUA
Molecule: long non-coding RNA, 469 nt
Organism: Mesocricetus auratus (golden hamster)
Lineage: Eukaryota; Metazoa; Chordata; Mammalia; Rodentia; Cricetidae
Exons: 2
Source: RefSeq, a predicted model, not a curated record